CCUACGGGUGGCAGCAGUGGGGAAUAUUGCGCAAUGGGCGAAAGCCUGACGCAGCGACGCCGCGUGAGGGAUGAAGGUCUUCGGAUCGUAAACCUCUGUCAGCAGGGAAGAACGGUCACUGUUCUAAUAAGCAGUGAAUUGACGGUACCUGCAAAGGACGCACCGGCUAACACCGUUCCAGCAGUCGCGGUAAUACGGCGGGUGCGAGCGUUAAUCGGAAUUAGUGGGCGUAAAGCGGUCGUAGGCGGGAUGUCAAGUCAAGGGUGAAAUCCCCGCGGUCAACGUGGGAACUGCCUUUGAAAAUGGCAAAGUGGAGGGGGUGAGAGGAUAGGGGAAUUGCAGGGGGAGGAGUGAAAACGG
This 360-nucleotide ribosomal RNA is filed under the name uncultured bacterium. RNAcentral describes it as "partial 16S ribosomal RNA". It matches the Rfam family "Bacterial small subunit ribosomal RNA", at positions 338 to 690 of the family's 1533-position model. The record is from RNAcentral.